This 448-nucleotide ribosomal RNA is filed under the name uncultured bacterium. RNAcentral's name for it is "bacterial SSU rRNA". It matches the Rfam family "Bacterial small subunit ribosomal RNA", at positions 329 to 794 of the family's 1533-position model. The record is from RNAcentral.
CUCCAGACUCCUACGGGAGGCAGCAGUGGGGAAUAUUGCACAAUGGGGGAAACCCUGGUGCAGCAACGCCGCGUGAGUGAAGAAGUAUUUCGGUAUGUAAAGCCCUAUCAGCAGGGAAGAAAAUGACGGUACCUGAGUAAGAAGCCCCGGCUAACUACGUGCCAGCAGCCGCGGUAAUACGUAGGGGGCAAGCGUUAUCCGGAUUUACUGGGUGUAAAGGGAGCGUAGACGGCUGUGCAAGCCAGAUGUGAAAGCCCGGGGCUCAACCCCGGGACUGCAUUUGGAACUGUGUGGCUGGAGUGUCGGAGAGGCAGGCGGAAUUCCUAGUGUAGCGGUGAAAUGCGUAGAUAUUAGGAGGAACACCAGUGGCGAAGGCGGCCUGCUGGACGAUGACUGACGUUGAGGCUCGAAAGCGUGGGGAGCAAACAGGAUUAGAUACCCCAGUAAA